GACGAACGCUGGCGGCGUGCUUAACACAUGCAAGUCGAACGGAAAGGCCCCUUUGGGGGUACUCGAGUGGCGAACGGGUGAGUAACACGUGAGUAACCUGCCCUUGACUUCGGGAUAACUUCAGGAAACUGGGGCUAAUACCGGAUAGGAAUCCUUGCUGCAUGGUGGGGGUUGGAAAGCUUCGGCGGUUUUGGAUGGACUCGCGGCUUAUCAGCUUGUUGGUGGGGUAGUGGCUUACCAAGGCUUUGACGGGUAGCCGGCCUGAGAGGGCGACCGGCCACAGUGGGACUGAGAGACGGCCCAGACUCCUACGGGAGGCAGCAGUGGGGAAUAUUGCACAAUGGGCGGAAGCCUGAUGCAGCAACGCCGCGGGCGGGAUGACGGCCUUCGGGUUGUAAACCGCUUUCAGCAGGGGCGAAGCUUGUGGUGACGGUACCUGCAGAAGAAGCACCGGCUAACUACGUG
This 465-nucleotide ribosomal RNA is filed under the name uncultured bacterium. RNAcentral describes it as "partial 16S ribosomal RNA". It matches the Rfam family "Bacterial small subunit ribosomal RNA", at positions 28 to 507 of the family's 1533-position model. The record is from RNAcentral.